Molecule: ribosomal RNA, 494 nt
Filed under: uncultured bacterium
Lineage: Bacteria
Description: partial 16S ribosomal RNA
Rfam family: Bacterial small subunit ribosomal RNA
Source: RNAcentral
GACGAACGCUGGCGGCGCGCUUAACACAUGCAAGUCGAACGGAAAGGCCUGCUUUCCCUUGUGGAUUGCGGGUACUCGAGUGGCGAACGGGUGAGUAACACGUGAGUGAUCUGCCCCCAACUUGGGUAUAAGCCUGGGAAACUGGGUCUAAUUCCCGAUAGGACUGCAGGGUGGUGCCUGUGGUGGAAAACGAUUUUCUAGUGGUUGGGGAUGAGCUCGCGGCCUAUCAGCUUGUUGGUGGGGUAAUGGCCUACCAAGGCGGCGACGGGUAGCCGGCCUGGGAGGGGGGACGGCCACAUUGGGACUGGGAUGCGGCCCAGACUCCUACGGGAGGCAGCAGUGGGGAAUAUUGCACAAUGGGCGGAAGCCUGAUGCAGCGACGCCGCGUGGGGGAUGACGGCCUUCGGGUUGUAAACUCCUUUCGACCGCGAGGAAGCCACCUGGUUGGAAGGGUGGUGACGGUAGUGGUAGAAGAAGCACCGGCUAACUACGUG